ACAACUACCUGAGGAGGGGGAUAACCCCGGAAAACUGGGGAUAAUACCCCAUAGAUUAGGGAUGCUGGAAUGCCCCCUAGUUCAAAGGUCCGCCGCCACAGGAUGGGUCUGCGGCCGAUUAGGUUGUUGUUGGGGUAACGGCCCAACAAGCCAUUGAUCGGUACGGGUUGUGGGAGCAAGAGCCCGGAGAUGGAUUCUGAGACACGAAUCCAGGCCCUACGGGGCGCAGCAGGCGCGAAAAAUUUACAAUGCGAGAAAUUGUGAUAAGGGAACCCCGAGUGCCCGUAAAUUCGGGCUGUCCGUCAGUGUAAAUAACUGGCGAAGAAAGGGCCGGGCAAGACUGGUGCCAGCCGCCGCGGUAAUACCGGCGGCUCGAGUGGUGGCCGCUAUUACUGGGCUUAAAGCGUCCGUAGCUGGGUUGUUAAGUCUCCUGGGAAAUCCACCGGCUCAACCGAUGGGCGUUCAGGAGAUACUGGCAACCUAGGGACCGGGAGAGGUGAGAGGUACUCCAGGGGUAGGAGUGAAAUCCUGUAAUCCUUGGGGGACCACCUGUGGCGAAGGCGUCUCACCAGAACGGCUCCGACAGUGAGGGACGAAAGCUGGGGGAGCAAACCGGAUUAGAUACCCGGGUAGUCCCAGCUGUAAACGAUGCGCGUUAGGUGUAUCGGUGACCACGAGUCACCGAGGUGCCGAAGAGAAAUCGUGAAACGUGCCGCCUGGGAAGUACGGUCGCAAGGCUGAAACUU
Molecule: ribosomal RNA, 746 nt
Filed under: uncultured archaeon
Lineage: Archaea
Description: bacterial SSU rRNA
Rfam family: Archaeal small subunit ribosomal RNA
Source: RNAcentral